GCUGGGCACGGUGGUGCGUGCCUGUAAUCCCAGCUGCUCGGGAGGCUGAGGCAGGAGAAUUGCCUGAACCCAGGGGGCGGAGGUUGCGGUGAGCCGAGAUCGCGCCAUUGCACUCCAGCCUGGGUAGCAAGAGCGAAACUCCGUCUCAAAAAAUAAAAGAAAAAAAGGAGAUGGAGUCUUGCUCUGUUUUCAAGGCUGGAGUGCAGUGGCAUGAUGUUGGCCACUGCAACCUCCACCUCCUGGGUUCAAGUGAUCCACUUGCCUCAG
RNAcentral lists this small RNA (267 nucleotides) under Callithrix jacchus (white-tufted-ear marmoset). Its description in RNAcentral is "Metazoan signal recognition particle RNA (ENSCJAG00000052301.2)". The record is from Rfam by way of RNAcentral. Lineage: Eukaryota; Metazoa; Chordata; Mammalia; Primates; Cebidae.